CAGACCGGGAAAUGAAAACGGGGAUUUUCAGUAAAUCGGUUCCAGUAAAUCUCUGCUGCUCUUGUGGGCGCCCUCUUUUGAGUACCGGAGGAAUGAGCACCGUUCUUCAUUCUUAUGGUUUUGUGAAGUUGUAGAGCUGCGUUCACAAGUGAUUGGGAAGACCAGGAUGCGCAAUGGCAAGAAUUAAUCAGACUGAUGAAAGAAAACAUUGUAAUAUGUAUAGCUCCUCCACGAAAAGUGUUGUAAGCUGCUCCAAUUCUGUUACUCUCCUAUUAAAGUGCUGACAACUCUGGAAUACACAGUAGGCACUCAAUACAUACAAGGGAGUAAAUGAAUGAAUUAAAGCUGUCUGUAUCUGCUGAUCAUCCACAAUUUAGACGUCCUAUACUACAUUCCAAGGCAAGCGGGGUACGUGUCCUGAAUUUAUAGAAUCUUUUGACACAAAGCAACAGAGCCACAGUCAAGACUCAAGUCAAAAGAAAUUUAGAUCCCAUCUGGGCAAACAGGCCUCUAAGCAACAAUCUAAGAUUUCCACCUAUUGUUCUGGCAUUCCUUGUAUAAAUGAUUAUGACUGCAGAGAUCUUAGGAAGUGCUGUGGUACCUUUAGAUGUGGCCUGAGGUGCAUACAUCCUCUUAUGAUUGACUCUGUAUUUUUCAAUUCACCUCCACAAUC
Long non-coding RNA from Gorilla gorilla gorilla (western lowland gorilla), 673 nucleotides. RefSeq lists it as uncharacterized. The record is from RefSeq and is a predicted model, not a curated record. Lineage: Eukaryota; Metazoa; Chordata; Mammalia; Primates; Hominidae. The transcript has 5 exons.